This 269-nucleotide ribosomal RNA is filed under the name uncultured Streptococcus sp. RNAcentral describes it as "partial 16S ribosomal RNA". It matches the Rfam family "Bacterial small subunit ribosomal RNA", at positions 1111 to 1382 of the family's 1533-position model. Lineage: Bacteria; Bacillati; Bacillota; Bacilli; Lactobacillales; Streptococcaceae. The record is from RNAcentral.
UUAGUUUGCCAUCAUUCAGUUGGGCACUCUAGCGAGACUGCCGGUAAUAACCGGAGGAAGUGGGGAUGACGUCAAAUCAUCAUGCCCCUUAUGACCUGGGCUACACACGUGCUACAAUGGUUGGUACAACGAGUUGCGAGUCGGUGACGGCGAGCUAAUCUCUUAAAGCCAAUCUCAGUUCGGAUUGUAGGCUGCAACUCGCCUACAUGAAGUCGGAAUCGCUAGUAAUCGCGGAUCAGCACGCCGCGGUGAAUACGUUCCCGGGCCUU